UAUUGCAGUACUUAUUGCUAUGGUGGACCAGAGUGACUGAACAACAGGCGCAGUCAGUGUCACAUCCAAGGCUCUCAAGUAACACUGCUCCUCCAGUAUCACUGUCUGUCAGCUCCACACCAUGGCUCAUGCGCUCAGACGGCAGCCUCCGAUGAAGGACCAGCACAGCUCAGAUAACGGACACAAUGCCGAAGCCUCUUCUGAGCAGUCAACCCCCGUUAAGACCUCCAGGACUCACAACGAGCUCCACAAGGAGCUGCUAUUGGCUCACAAUAGCUCGCUAGGCCACUGGUAGCAUGCAUCAGUGUAAAGUGAUAUCCUAAGAGGAGCACUGACCUGGCGUCCACAUGCUAGCACACACUGGGAUGGACAGAAUUACAACAGAAUGAAUAACAUAACAGAGUAAGCGUUAGUAACCUGCAGCAUCCCUGAAGACGGUCGUCUGCCCUGACGGUUCGUGUCUAAGAGGACUCAUCUCUGGUGGUCAGCUCACACUUCACUGACUGGCUGAGCCAGUGGUUCUCAAGCUUGUUCUUUAAGCUCCACUUCGGGGGAAGUUCAUGCGCCACCGCCCCAACAAAAUUGUAACAUUGAUGAAUUGUUAUUGAAAUAACAACUUUUUGUGCUUUUUCAAAUAAUAAAAUCACUUUGUAAUCACUUUCUAGUAAACCAGAUUCCUCCAUCAGGCAGAAACUAA
RNA transcript from Pseudoliparis swirei, 697 nucleotides. It is a transcript of the gene named protein FAM107B, with no coding region annotated. The record is from RefSeq and is a predicted model, not a curated record. Lineage: Eukaryota; Metazoa; Chordata; Actinopteri; Perciformes; Liparidae. The transcript has 4 exons.